RNAcentral lists this ribosomal RNA (652 nucleotides) under Vibrio sp. UST991130-007. RNAcentral's name for it is "bacterial SSU rRNA". It matches the Rfam family "Bacterial small subunit ribosomal RNA", at positions 373 to 1018 of the family's 1533-position model. The record is from RNAcentral. Lineage: Bacteria; Pseudomonadati; Pseudomonadota; Gammaproteobacteria; Vibrionales; Vibrionaceae.
GGGCGCAAGCCUGAUGCAGCCUGCCGCGUGUAUGAAGAAGGCCUUCGGGUUGUAAAGUACUUUCAGCAGUGAGGAAGGUAGUAGUGUUAAUAGCACUAUUAUUUGACGUUAGCUGCAGAAGAAGCACCGGCUAACUCCGUGCCAGCAGCCGCGGUAAUACGGAGGGUGCGAGCGUUAAUCGGAAUUACUGGGCGUAAAGCGCAUGCAGGUGGAUGAUUAAGUCAGAUGUGAAAGCCCGGGGCUCAACCUCGGAAUAGCAUUUGAAACUGGUUAUCUAGAGUACUGUAGAGGGGGGUAGAAUUUCAGGUGUAGCGGUGAAAUGCGUAGAGAUCUGAAGGAAUACCGGUGGCGAAGGCGGCCCCCUGGACAGAUACUGACACUCAGAUGCGAAAGCGUGGGGAGCAAACAGGAUUAGAUACCCUGGUAGUCCACGCCGUAAACGAUGUCUACUUGGAGGUUGUGGCCUUGAGCCGUGGCUUUCGGAGCUAACGCGUUAAGUAGACCGCCUGGGGAGUACGGUCGCAAGAUUAAAACUCAAAUGAAUUGACGGGGGCCCGCACAAGCGGUGGAGCAUGUGGUUUAAUUCGAUGCAACGCGAAGAACCUUACCUACUCUUGACAUCCAUAGAACUUUCCAGAGAUGGAUUGGUGCC